RNAcentral lists this ribosomal RNA (635 nucleotides) under uncultured fungus. RNAcentral describes it as "LSU rRNA". It matches the Rfam family "Eukaryotic large subunit ribosomal RNA", at positions 55 to 709 of the family's 3401-position model. The record is from RNAcentral. Lineage: Eukaryota; Fungi.
GGAGAAGAAACACAGGGAUUGCCCCAGUAACGGCGAGUGAAGCGGCAAUAGCUCAAAUUUGAAAUCUGGCUCUUUCAGGGUCCGAGUUGUAAUUUGCAGAGGGCGCUUUGGCGUCGGCAGCAGCCUAAGUUCCUCGGAACAGGUCAUCAUAGAGGGUGAGAAUCCCGUAUGUGGCUGCUUGUCCUCGCCGUGUAAAGCCCCUUCGAUGAGUCGAGUUGUUUGGGAAUGCAGCUCUAAAUGGGAGGUAAAUUUCUUCUAAAGCUAAAUAUUGGCCAGAGACCGAUAGCGCACAAGUAGAGUGAUCGAAAGAUGAAAAGCACUUUGGAAAGAGAGUCAAAAAGCACGUGAAAUUGUUGAAAGGGAAGCGCUUGCAGCCAGACGUGCCCGUAGUUGCUCAUCGGGGGUUCUCCCCCGUGUACUCUUCUAUGGGCAGGCCAGCACCAGUCCGGGCGGUUGGAGAAAGACCUGUGUCAUGUAGCUGUUUUCGGGCAGUGUUAUAGGGCAGGUGGAAUGCAACCAGCCUGGACUGAGGUCCGCGCAUCUGCUAGGAUGCUGGCGUAAUGGCUGUAAGCGGCCCGUCUUGAAACACGGACCAAGGAGUCUAACAUCUAUGCGAGUGUUUGGGUGUCAAGCCC